RNAcentral lists this small RNA (8576 nucleotides) under Pongo abelii (Sumatran orangutan). RNAcentral's name for it is "retained intron". The record is from RNAcentral. Lineage: Eukaryota; Metazoa; Chordata; Mammalia; Primates; Hominidae.
UGGUGUCCUGUAGUUCUACCAGUACUCUAUUAACAGGAAUUAGCUAUAUGACAAGCAAAAUAUUUAAGUUAAAUGUUUCUACACCACUACUUCAGUGAUUGUCAGUAGUAGUUGUCAUAGUGUUUCUGAAAGACUGCAAGGUUCCAAAUGCCCUUUAAAUCAUUGGAGAAAGUCUAAAUCAUGUUCAACAUCAUAAUUGAUGCUGAGCAGAUUUUAUUACAUUUUAUUCACAGCCUUAAAAAUGUAUAAUUUAAAUACAGACUAUGUGCUAAACAGUCUACAGAUAGAAAUAAUGAUUAACUGAGUACCUUAUUUAUUGAAUAGAUCACAUAAGAAAAGCAAAAAUAUGUGUUAAAAAUUUGUGAUACCUCUGAUUCUUUCAUCCACUUUAGUGAGGUGUUAAUAUGAGAUUCUGCUGUUACCACAGUCAUUGUUUUCCUGUACUUGUGAACGAUUUAUCAUUGAUCGAAGUAUUGGAAUUCCUUUUUUAAAUUUCUAAUGAAAAGUUUUGUUUUGAAACUUCUGAUUUGUUUUAAGAAUUUUGCUAUUCUUUUUUCUGCUGACUUUGGAUUCGUCCAUUGAGUCUUUCAACAUUUAUUGAAUACACUAUGGUUUUGGUAAUAGUCUCUGUCUUGAAGCCAGGAAAGACUGAAUAUGCCACAAUCCCAGAAUCAUGGGUAGGAAUGGAGAAAGGGAAGAAAACAGCAAAGAGCUGUAAGCCAAUAGUAAGUGUGCCAAUAAACAGGGUCUAGAGCACAGCAGUUGGGCUUGGAAGAGUUACACACACUUGGCUAGAAUGUAUUGUAGUCAGGAUCUGAACCUCUAUUCCCUAAUGCCCCGAGCCUAUUUCCUUACCUCUGAGGGGGGGUAGAGCCCCUAUGCAUAGGGUAGACAGGAGUAGUAAAGGAGAAAAGUGUAUGAACUAGUACCUGCCCGAGUCAGCACUCAUUCAGUGGUAGCUAUAUUAUAAAAUAUUAUUCUAACAGAAAAAUUAGUGUGAUAACUUAAGGAGUACAUACAUGGACUAUAAUUUUUAUAUGUAUUUGUCAACUAUAUACAAAAGGACGAAUAAUUAGAAAUUCUGUGAGAAAACAGGUUCACAUGUAUCAUGCUGGUUGCAAAAUGAUUCAUUGUAUUUACUAUUUCAGGUACCAAAGCAGUCAGACUCACAGCCUAAUUCUGAUAACCUAAGUCGCCAUGGUGAAUGUGGGAAAAAGCAAGUGUCUUACAGAACUGAUAUUGUUGGUGGCGUACCCAUCAUUACUCCCACUCAGAAAGAAGAAGUAAAUGAAUGUGGUGAAAGUAUUGACAGAAAUAAUCUGAAACGGUCACAAAGCCAUCUUCCUUACUUUACUCCUAAACCACCUCAAGAUAGUGCGGUUAUCAAAGCUGGAUAUUGUGUAAAACAAGGAGCAGUGAUGAAAAACUGGAAGAGAAGAUAUUUUCAGUUGGAUGAAAACACAAUAGGCUACUUCAAAUCUGAACUGGUAUGUUACGUCAUAAAUGUUGCUGUAAGAAUGUUUGAAAAGUGUUGCAUUGUAGUGAUUAUAUAUAAUUUCUUGUACUGUUCCCUAGUUUUAGAAGAAGUCUAGUUUUUAGAGGUACAUAUAGUUUAUUUGGUUGUGAUGCUUUUGGUUAAUGAUAUUUUUCUUAAAUACAUUUUUAAGUAAAAAGAUCCUAUCUUCAAAGCAGCAUUCCACCUUGAAAGAUCUGAAGAUCUCAGAAUCCUCUAGUCUAUAAAUUUCCUCUAAAGGGGCUGUCCUCUUGGGGGGUUAGCCCCACGUGGAGUACAGAGAGAAGGACAUCCACCUGGGGAGGGGGUGGUGGCAGAGAUGGGAGAAUGGUCACAUGCACACGAUUGAUAAAAUCAGGAACUAUAUUAAGGAUAAUAGAAGCCAAGUCUUUUCAGAGAAACAAUACUUUUUGGUGAAUGAAUGUAUAUCUAUAUGUAUGAUGAGGAAUGAGAUAUUGACAUAGUUUCAAAGUACCUAUCUACUAAAAUAGGUAUUAAGUAUUGUACAAGGGGAAAAAGAGUAAGUAACAUUACAGUGAGGAAAGUGGUGUAAAGAAUUCUGUCUGUAAAAGUCAAUAUUUAACCCUCUGUAUUUCUACCUUCUCUUGAGAUUUUCUUUACCUAUUUCACAUUGACUCAUAAAUCACUUCACAUAAGAUGUUUUUAUCCUCCCUGAAGGUAGAAUCAGAAAUUGAAAUUCCCUCUUGGCCUUGUUUGAGUUGCAUCCUUAUUUAAAAUAUUCUAGGGUGAUCUGAGUCCUGAAGUAGCUUAUUGGAUAAAUUGAAUGCAAUUCUGUAGUAUACAUGUCUAUCCUACCUCUUCUUUUUGUAUGGGACCUUUGAGAAGGGAACUUAUACUUUAUUUGAAUGAAGUCACCAGAACAGCAUUGUCCAUUAGAACUUUCUCCACAAAUGGAAAUGUGCCGUAUCUGUAUUGUCCAAGGGCACUAGCUACAUGUAGCUGUUGAGUGCUGGAAAUGUGGCUAGUGUGACUGAGGAACUGACUUUAUUUCAUUUUAAUUAAUUUAAAUUUACAUCAUUACACACAAUGGCCACUGUAUUGGCCAGCAGAGCACUAGUGUAUAGGAAGGGAACAUUUUAAGAUUCACCUCAGGAGUCAGCUCUUCUGGGAAGCUUUUAGACUCUGGGUUAAGUGUCUUCUCUUUAUAUGCCCUGUGGUACCCUAUGCAUACUUGUAUCAUAAUGCUCUUCCCAGAGUUUUGCAAUCACGUGCAUUCUUGUCUUUGCAACUAAAUUAAAUGAGCUUCUUAAGGGUAAAGACUCUUGUAGUCUUUUAUGAUCACAGGGCCUGGCACUUGAUAGACAAUAAGUGUCUUUGAAUGAAUGAAAAAUGGCAUAGCAUAGCAAGAAAUGCCAUUUUAGCAUGGGGCUUUCUCAAAGCUUAAGAGCCUCAACUGAAAGUAGUAGUUACUUGUUUCAGAAAGUACCUGCCUUGUUGUCUCAGAAGGCUAUCCUUGUGCUUGGUUAGCAGGUUGUCUCAUUGAUUUUAUUUAAAGCCAAUACUCCUGGGAAGAGUCAUUCAUGCGACAGACAUUCAUUGAGCUCUCCAUGAACCUGGUGCACUGUUCUGGGAACUGGAAAUAAAAGAGAAUAAUUAGCAAAGUUCUCUGGCCUUCAGGAGUUCAGUUUUGGUGGGGAAAUUGACAUGUGUCCCCAUCAUCAACAGUAGUUUUAAUAAUUAGGAAUAUUUUUAGUAUUUAGAAAUUGCAGAUAAAGCUGAAAACCUUUAAAGGUCAGUAAUUAUAACUAUACUUAAGUUUUCCUAAUUUUACAGAGUAUAGUUUAUCUCCUAUGGUAGUUCUUUGUUCUUCCUCUCAAAUUUCACAGAAUAAUGCCCAGCAUACAGGUUUUCAAAACUUAGUAUUUCUGUAAUAGUUCUUGUUUCAGCUCCCCCUCCCCCAGUUUUAACAUUUCUGAAGUCUUAGCAGUAUGUCUUAGAGUUGCUAAGGACGAGGGGCAGCCAGGCUGCAGCUGUGCUGUAGUUGACUGCUUGCCAUACGCACAGUACCUUUGGGUAAAAUCCAGAAGACACCGGCAUCAGCAUGUGCAGAAAAGGGUGGUGGGAGCUUGGGAGGAAAUCUCAGGGACACCAUGAAACAUUCUUAAAUACUGCAUCAUGAACACUCUUUUUGGCACAAAGAAUGGCUUGGAGUGAAAAAUAUGGACAUUGGUGGCUCCAAGUCAAAAAGUGAUUCAGAAGAUCUGGAAUCUGAAUGUGAAAUCUUAAAAACUGUAACCAGUUUAUCUUGUUUAUAUUUUUCUUUUUUAUAUAUGCUCAAGAAUAAUACAUGAUAAAAAUGUUUAAAGUGUAAAUGGGCUCUUUUAUAAAACCUUUUCAUCAUGGAAAAGUGUAAACGUACCCUUUUAGUAGAUAGAAAUAAUACAUGGACUGCAUAUACCCAUCACCUAGAUGUCAUAAUUGUUAACACAUGGCUCAGCUCGUCUUGUUUCUUCUGUUUCACCACCUACUUCCUGCUCCAUAUUUUGAGGCAAAUCCUAGAUGUCUCCCAUUUCAUCUGUAAAUAUCUCAGUGUGUAUCUCUAAAAGAUCAUUUAAAAAUUUUAAAAAUAAGUAUAAAAGACUUAAGUGCACAGCCGAAAAAUUGGUGAAAAUAUUUGCAACAUGUAUUAGAGAUAAAACUUAUAAGGAAUCUUAAAAACUGAGGGGAUUUUUCCUCACCUACUUUGCUCUCUUUUCCUUCCAUCAAUCUGAAACGAUUCAGACUCCAAUUUAUUAGGUGAGGCAAAGCAACAUAGGCAUCCAAGAGGAACCAGUGUAGCUUUGUGUGGGUGUCAGAGCCCACGCAGGACAAGGAGGCUGUCCUCUUGGGGGGUUAGCCCCACGCGGAGUAGGGAGAAAAGGGCAUCCACAUGGGGAAGGGGUGGUGGCAGAGAUGGGAGAAUGGUCACAUACACACUGAUUGAUAAAAUCAAGAACUAUAUUAAGGAUAAUAGAAGCCAAAUCUUGUCAGAGAAACAAUACUUUUUGGUGAAUGGAUGUAUAUCUGUAUGUAUGAUGAGAAAUAAAAUAUUUGCAUAGUUUCAAAGUACCUGUCUACUAAAAUAGGUAUUAAGUAUUGUACAAGGGGGAAAAGAAUAACAUUACAGUGAGGAAACCUGGCAGAUACCACUUUACUCAGGUUGGUCAGAUGAUUAAAGUGAAUGUCAUUGGUAAUGAGGUAAAUUGAAAUCACCUGACAGGAUAGUGGACGAAGAAGACAGCGUCACUUCUGUGAAACCCCUGCCCAAGGUAUGUAAUCAGAAUCCCAUCAUGAGGCACACCCAAAUGAGGGACAUUCUACAAAAUAACUACCUUGCAGUCUUCAUAGAGUGAAGAUUAUGAAAGUCAAGGAAUAAUGAGGAACUGUUCCAGACUGAGGGAAAGAAAAUAUUUGACAAGCAGAUGGUAUUCAUGCUUCUGAACUGAAUCCUUUUGCUCUAAUAAAAGACAUUUUGGGCACAGUUUUCUGAUUCUGAUGAGUGUAUUGUGAUUAUGUAAGAGAAUGUCUUUGUAGGAAAAGUAUUCAGGGGUAGUGUGGGACAGGUCAGCAACUCAUUCUGAAAUGGUUCAGGAAAAUCAGUUCUUUGUGCUGUAUUUUCAAUCCUUGUAUAAAUUAGUGUUUGUUUCAAAGACUAAAAAAGAGAAAAUGGAGGGGAAGAUAUCUGGUAGGCAAAUGAACAAAAGACAUGAAUAGGCAAUUCAUUUAAAAAUUAAAAUAGGUCUUAAAAUAUUAAAAAUCAGCAUCACUGAUAAUUAGAGAAAUGCAAAUUAAAACUGCAAUGAAAUAUUCUCAUCCAUCAUGAGAAGGUUGUGGCUGAGUUAAGAGAUUGGCAAAUCCCCACCCACCCUGCCCAAAAGCAACUGUAAAUGCCAUUCUGUAAACAAAAGGAAUCGGGAACCCUUGGUGAUGUGACUGAUUUCAGAGCUGGGGCAGAUAAAGUACAAGCUGAGCUCAGAAAGUGAAGUUGUACCAGAGGGUAAGGAAGUGGCUCAGAGAAUGAAUGGAACAUGUCAAAAGGACACAGAAAUUACCUUGAAGGAGCUGACCAAAAUGCAGACAAUUUAAACAACAAAAUAAGUAAUGAUAGUAAUGGAAUAUAACCCAUAGAAUAAAAUGAGUCAUAAAUAAAUAAAUGGAGAAGGAAAAAUAUUUCCUUAGAGUAAAAUUCUAUUUAAUAUAUGUAGAUGGAUUGAUGGGGUUAGAAAAAUCACCAUUUGGCAGCCACUAGUAAUGGUUUCAGGCAGGAGUUUUCAGGAUUUGAUAAAACUAGUUGCAAACUUAUGAUGGGAAACCUGGUAUUACUAUAGGUUCCAGGUAUCUCCCCACAAGAUACUUAACAAUGACAAAGGGAAAAAGUAAUUUUACAGUUACUGGCAAACAUGACCUUAAGCAACAGAUCAGGGUUAAUACACCAGUGACAGGACAGGCCACCAUCAGGUGUGUACCUCCUAAUAGUGGUCCACUGAGAAGAACAGUGUCAUGUCUGUGGCUUCCUGUCGAAAGUGUAUAACCUGAAUCUCAGCACGAGUAACAGACAAACCCAGACUGGGAGGUGUUCUGCAAAAAUAACUGGCCUGCACUUUUUUAAACUCUGGAAAACGAAUGAAGAACUAUUCCACAGUUAAAGGCGACAUGACGGCUGCAUACAUGGUAUGAUCCUGGAUUUAACUCUGGAUCAGAAAAUGGUUUUUGUACUGUAAAGAAUACAGGUAGGGCAGUUAGUGAAAUCUGAAGAUGGUCUGUAGAUGAUAGUACUGCAUCAGUGUCGAGUUUCCAGUUUUCAUAAUUGCACUGUGGCUAUGCAAGAGCACAUCCAUGUUUUAGGAAAUACUGAAGUAUUUAGUAAAGGCACAUCAUAUUUACAACUUAACCUUCAAGCAUUUCGAAUAUAUAUAUAUAUAUAUAUACACAUACACUCUCUCAGACACGUAUAUAAACAUAAACAUAAUGACAAAGCAAAUGUAAAAUAUCAACAGUUUAGAAAACAAGGUGUAGGUUAUGCAGAAAUUCUUUGUACUGUUUUUCUCAGUCUCUUAUUAAGUGUGAAAUUAUUUCAAAAUUAAACUAUUUUGUAAAACUUUUUAAAAGAGAGCUAUGUUUUUUUUUUUUUUUUAAAAGCACUCCCAGCUGGGCGUGGUGGCUCACGCCUGUAAUCCUAGCAUUUUGGGAGGCCAAGGUGGGCAGAUCACCAGAGGUCAGGAGCUCGAGACCAGCCUAGCCAACAUGGUAAAACCCCGUCUCUACUAGAAAUACAAAAAUUAGCUGGGCGUGGUGGCAGGCGCCUGUAAUUUCAGCUACUCGGGAGGCAGGAGAAUCCCCUUGAACCCAGGAGGCGGAGGUUGCAGUGAGCCAAGAUCGCACCAUUGCCCUCUAGCCUGGCCAACAAGAGCGAAACUCCAUCUCAAAAAACAAAACAAAACAAAAAGAAAACUCUCUCAUGGUUUAGUUUCAUUUUUGGUGCUACAUAAAGUAAUGGUAUGUCUUAAUCUCAUGCUGUCAUAUUCAAUGAAAUAUGUAUAUUGUAUUUUAUGGAAUGUAUACUAGAAAUAUGCUAUUAGGAACCAGUUUUAUAUUUGUAUCUUAUAUCUACUUUGUAACCUUGGGUGAGAUACUUAACGUGUCUAAUCUGUAGUUUCAGCACACGAAUAGUAGUACAUGUGUUGUAGCAUUGGGGAAAGUGUGAGAUAAAACAUUUAAAACCUAGCAGAUGUCUCAGCACUUAGUAAACAUUCAAUUUUGUAUUUAUAUAAAAGUGAUAUUUGUAAAAUCACAAAUUUAAGUCAAAGAAGCAGGAUGUGCACUUGCUCUGCUGCCUUGUGUAUCAAAGUGACAUUCCAGAAAAGGAGGUGCUGCGCAUACUGGUACGUGGGUCCAUCGGGGAAAGUCUGAUGGCUAAUAGCUUUUAAUUAGCUACACUGCCCUUAAGGCCAGAAAUAAUGUGAAUAAGGGCCGUAUGCAGUUUUUCUUGUCUCAAACAACAGUGUAUAUAAGGUUAUAGUGUUUGAGCUGUUCAGAUGCUGAAUGGUUUAAGAAGGUAGAUUUAUUUCUGAGAUAUGCUUCAGAAAAGAAGUGUGAUUUUCACAUGGGUCUCCAAAUAAGACAGCUAACCUUUGAAAGGAUUUUAAGAAUAAACAUCGUGUAUCUGAUUUUUUUUUUUUUUUUUUUUUUUUUGCCAGGAAAAGGAACCUCUUCGCGUAAUACCACUUAAAGAGGUUCAUAAAGUCCAGGAAUGUAAGCAAAGCGACAUAAUGAUGAGGGACAACCUGUUUGAAAUUGUAACAACAUCUCGAACUUUCUAUGUGCAGGUAAGAUACUUAUUUGGCAAUUAAUAGAUCCUCCUAACAAGAAAUUAACAAUUUUAGAGGUGAAAAAUAUGACAACUGUAAUUCACCAGCUUAAUAAAAGGGUGCUAUAUAUAGAGUUAUUAUUGGUGGGGUUAUAUGUUCAGGAAAUGGGGGUAUUUGUUAUGAAUUAGUGAACCAGAACUAAGUAUUUAGAGAAAGGGAAAUGCUUUUAAUUUAGAUGUUAAGUGUGUACUUUCAAGUUGGAUUAUUUUUGCACAUAUUUUAGAAUUUUGAUUUUUCUAUUAUAUCAUUUUUUGGUAACCUUAUUUUAAAAAACCCAUAAUAAAAGUAGACAGUAGAUCUAUAUAGUUUCACUAAUAGUAGGCAUCCUGUAUUUAAGUUUAACUUGUACUUUUUGCAUACCUCAUUGAAUUAUUUAAAUGGAAAAUUUUAAAAAAAGAUUUGGGCCGGCUGUGGUGGCUCACACCUGUAAUCCCAGCACUUUGGGAGGCCAAGGCAGGCACAUUGCUUGAGUCCAAGAGUUCGAGACCAGCCUGGGCAACAUGGCAAAACCCCAUCUCUACUAAAAAUACGAGCGUUAGCCAGCCGUGGUGGUGCAGGCUUGUAAUCCUAGCAACUUGGGAGGCUGAUGCAUGAGAAUGGCUUGAACCCAGGAGGUGGAGGUUACAGUGAGCUGAGAUUGUGUUACUGCACUCCCACCUGGGUGACAGAGACCCUGUCUCAAAAAAAAAAAAAAA